Molecule: ribosomal RNA, 252 nt
Filed under: uncultured bacterium
Lineage: Bacteria
Description: partial 16S ribosomal RNA
Rfam family: Bacterial small subunit ribosomal RNA
Source: RNAcentral
UACGGGGGGGCAAGCGUUGUUCGGAAUUACUGGGCGUAAAGGGCUCGUAGGCGGCCAACUAAGUCAUACGUGAAAUCCCUCGGCUUAACCGGGGAACUGCGUCUGAUACUGGAUGGCUUGAGUUCGGGAGAGGGAUGCGGAAUUCCAGGUGUAGCGGUGAAAUGCGUAGAUAUCUGGAGGAACACCGGUGGCGAAGGCGGCGACCUGGUCCGAUACUGACGCUGAGGCGCGAAAGCGUGGGGAGCAAACAGG